Molecule: ribosomal RNA, 253 nt
Filed under: uncultured bacterium
Lineage: Bacteria
Description: partial 16S ribosomal RNA
Rfam family: Bacterial small subunit ribosomal RNA
Source: RNAcentral
UACAGAGGGGGCGAGCGUUGUUCGGAAUUACUGGGCGUAAAGGGCUCGUAGGCGGCCAACUAAGUCAGACGUGAAAUCCCUCGGCUUAACCGGGGAACUGCGUCUGAUACUGGAUGGCUUGAAUCCGGGAGAGGGAUGCGGAAUUCCAGGUGUAGCGGUGAAAUGCGUAGAUAUCUGGAGGAACACCGGUGGCGAAGGCGGCAUCCUGGACCGGCAUUGACGCUGAGGAGCGAAAGCCAGGGGAGCAAACGGG